This 463-nucleotide long non-coding RNA is filed under the name Ictidomys tridecemlineatus (thirteen-lined ground squirrel). RNAcentral's name for it is "lncRNA (ENSSTOG00000033266.1)". Lineage: Eukaryota; Metazoa; Chordata; Mammalia; Rodentia; Sciuridae. The record is from RNAcentral.
CUGGACUCGGGCACUCACUAGACUGAAGUCUUCCCACUGCAGAUGUCCCCUUAUUAAUGCAAAGCUGCCACACUGAAGUCCCAUUGUCAAGAAAGAACCUUUGUUUGUGAAAAUGGCCUUUAGUUCUGAAAUAUCCAUCAUCUUAUUCUUCCUGGUGACCAUCGUGAGCUCCAGCCAUGGUUUGGAAUCAACAAAUGAUGAAUCAGAUGACAAGGACCUGAGAUUCCACUGGACUUCUGGCUUCUUCCCCAAUGGGACCAGGGUGCAUCCCUCUCACACAGGAAUUGGAGCAGCACAACCAAGCCCUGUCUACCCUGCCUACUCCCAGGGUGAACGGAUAACAACAAAGAAGCAGUUGACACCAGGGCACAAUUGCAACCUGAUUUCGCUACGCAAGCAUUCCAAAGGAGCUGCCUCUGGAAUGCCAGUCCUGUGACGUGGGACAAGAAAACAGUGUUGCUUU